UGGCCGUAGCUCAGUUGGGUAGAGCGCCGGGAUGAGGACCCGGAGGUCGGGGGUUCAAAUCCCCUCGGUCAACCA
RNAcentral lists this transfer RNA (75 nucleotides) under Acidimicrobiia bacterium. Its description in RNAcentral is "tRNA-Leu". It matches the Rfam family "tRNA". Rfam says of the family: Transfer RNA (tRNA) molecules are approximately 80 nucleotides in length. Their secondary structure includes four short double-helical elements and three loops (D, anti-codon, and T loops). Further hydrogen bonds mediate the characteristic L-shaped molecular structure. tRNAs have two regions of fundamental functional importance: the anti-codon, which is responsible for specific mRNA codon recognition, and the 3' end, to which the tRNAs corresponding amino acid is attached (by aminoacyl-tRNA synthetases). tRNAs cope with the degeneracy of the genetic code in two manners: having more than one tRNA (with a specific anti-codon) for a particular amino acid; and 'wobble' base-pairing, i.e. permitting non-standard base-pairing at the 3rd anti-codon position. The record is from RNAcentral. Lineage: Bacteria; Bacillati; Actinomycetota; Acidimicrobiia.